This 389-nucleotide ribosomal RNA is filed under the name uncultured archaeon. RNAcentral describes it as "bacterial SSU rRNA". It matches the Rfam family "Archaeal small subunit ribosomal RNA", at positions 350 to 741 of the family's 1478-position model. The record is from RNAcentral.
UCACACUGUGCGAAAGCGCGAUGAGGGGAUCCCAAGUGCUUGCUAUUAGGAGUAAGCUUUUUUCCUGUUAAAUCGCAGGAAGAAAAAGGGGUGGGUAAGACGGGUCCCCGCCGCCGCGGUAAUACCCGCAGCUCAAGUGGUGACCGCUUUUAUUGGGCCUAAAACGUCCGUAGCCGGCUGAGUAAAUGCCUGGGUAAAUCGUGUCGCUUAACGAUACGAAUUCCGGGUAGACUGCUUAGCUUGAGACUGGGAGAAGCUAGAGGUACUCCUGGGGUAGAGGUGAAAUUCUGUAAUCCUGGGGGGACCACCAGUGGCGAAAGCGUCUAGCUAGAACGGGUCUGACGGUGAGGGACGAAACCCAGGGGCGCGAACCGGAUUAGAUACCCGGG